AAUACCUGGCGGCAGCUUACACAUGCGAGUCGAACGAUGAAAUCUAGCUUGCUAGAUGGAUUAGUGGCGAACGGGUGAGUAAUGCUUAGGAAUCUGCCUAUUAGUGGGGGAUAACCAUCCGAAAGGAUGGCUAAUACCGCAUACGUCUUACGAGAGAAAGGGGGCUUUUAGCUCUCGCUAAUAGAUGAGCCUAAGUCGGAUUAGCUAGUUGGUGGGGUAAAGGCCUACCAAGGCGACGAUCUGUAGCUGGUCUGAGAGGAUGAUCAGCCACACUGGGACUGAGACACGGCCCAGACUCCUACGGGAGGCAGCAGUGGGGAAUAUUGGACAAUGGGCGAAAGCCUGAUCCAGCCAUGCCGCGUGUGUGAAGAAGGCCUUUUGGUUGUAAAGCACUUUAAGUGGGGAGGAAAAGCUUGUGGUUAAUACCCAUUAGCCCUGACGUUACCCACAGAAUAAGCACCGGCUAACUCUGUGCCAGCAGCCGCGGUAAU
RNAcentral lists this ribosomal RNA (491 nucleotides) under uncultured bacterium. RNAcentral's name for it is "bacterial SSU rRNA". It matches the Rfam family "Bacterial small subunit ribosomal RNA", at positions 36 to 524 of the family's 1533-position model. The record is from RNAcentral.